Molecule: long non-coding RNA, 342 nt
Filed under: Mus musculus (house mouse)
Lineage: Eukaryota; Metazoa; Chordata; Mammalia; Rodentia; Muridae
Description: testicular germ cell expressed HSF2 interacting lncRNA (Teshl)
Source: RNAcentral
GCAGCCUCUUCAAUGCAGGUUUGGUCCCCUUUUUAGGUUAAAGAAGGCUUUUCAGACAGAACUGAACAAACAUGGGGGAGGCUCUUAGCCAAAGCUGGUGGAGAAGAAAAGAGGACGUGGCUCAACUCCCCAUCUCAUAUUUCUCGUACUUAUAGUGAGGCACACAUGCUUUGGCUGAAGAAGCUUCUAGACACCAUGAAGUACCAAGUCACAUUUGUUCCCAUUGUUGACUCAAAGAACGAUGGGUCCCGAUGCAAGCCUAAGGCCACCGUAAUCAUCGUCGAGCUUGCUUCUCCACCCCAGGGUCUCUAAAUAAAACCUCUUCUUUCUCGGAAAAAAAAU